Molecule: small nuclear RNA, 110 nt
Organism: Phacochoerus africanus (Common warthog)
Lineage: Eukaryota; Metazoa; Chordata; Mammalia; Artiodactyla; Suidae
Source: RefSeq, a predicted model, not a curated record
GUGCUCGCUUUGGCAGCACACGUACUAAAAUUAGAACAAUACAGAGAAGAUGAGCAUUGAGGCCCCUGCACGAGGAUGACACACAAGUUUGUGAAGAAUUCCAUAAUGAA